The sequence is a transfer RNA, 87 nucleotides long. It matches the Rfam family "tRNA". From Rfam's summary of the family: Transfer RNA (tRNA) molecules are approximately 80 nucleotides in length. Their secondary structure includes four short double-helical elements and three loops (D, anti-codon, and T loops).
GCCGGUGUGAUGGAAUUGGCAGACGUGCCAGACUCAAAAUCUGGUGGUGGCAACACCGUACCGGUUCGAUCCCGGUCACCGGCACCA